GGAGAUUAUAUUUUCAUUUACAAUGAAAAUUACCUUAGGGCUCCUUUAUAAUUAUAAUUAUAGCAAAUAU
RNAcentral lists this transfer RNA (70 nucleotides) under Gammarus pisinnus. RNAcentral's name for it is "tRNA-Val". Lineage: Eukaryota; Metazoa; Arthropoda; Malacostraca; Amphipoda; Gammaridae. The record is from RNAcentral.